RNAcentral lists this long non-coding RNA (458 nucleotides) under Phoenix dactylifera (date palm). RNAcentral's name for it is "long non-coding RNA (PDAC_LNC021933)". The record is from RNAcentral. Lineage: Eukaryota; Viridiplantae; Streptophyta; Magnoliopsida; Arecales; Arecaceae.
ACCUACGCGCUAGGGUGCUGAGUCCCCUGAUCAAAACUUCCUGGCUCUGCCGACUCUUCCUCUACAACAUCAAUUACAAAUCACAAACUAAAUCAUUUAAUAUUUAAAUAUUCCAAACCAUAAUUGAUAUUUACUAUGGGGUCCAUAACCAGAUCCCCAAACAUCUCAAUCUCUCCAAGUCUAGGGCAGUCGGGGUGGCCCGACUCCCACCCUUGUACCACCGGCCCAUGUCGUCGCCAGCCGUGGCCGGUUCCGAUGAAAAGACCAAAAGAAGGGUGGAUGAUAGAGAAGGGUUCUUCCUCCACCUCUUUGGUCCAAGGCAACAGCCGGGGUGGCUGUGCCCUCACCUUCCCCACCCUCGGCCACCAUUGGCCGAACCAUCGCCGGCCGCCCCUGCUGCAGUCACCGGCGAUGGUGGCCGGCCAAGAGAAAGAGAGAAGAAGAAGUCUCUUCCUCUU